CCUACGGUGGGCAGCAGUGGGGAAUAUUGCGCAAUGGGGGAAACCCUGAUGCAGCAACGCCGCGUGAGUGAAGGAGUACUUCGGCAUGUAAAGCUCUAUCAUCGGGGAAGAAGCAAGACGGUACCCGACUAAGAAGCCCCGGCUAACUACGUGCCAGCAGCCGCGGUAAUACGUAGGGGGCGAGCGUUAUCCGGAUUCACUGGGUGUAAAGGGGGCGUAGACGGCGAGGCAAGCCAGAGGUGAAAGCCCGGGGCCCAACCCCGGAACUGCUCUUGAUACUGCAUGGCUGGAGUGCGGGAGAGGAAAGCGGAAUUCCUGGUGUAGCGGUGAAAUGCGUAGAUAUCAGGAGGAACACCGGUGGCGAAGGCGGCUUGCUGGACCGUGACUGACGUUGAGGCUCGAAAGCGUGGGGAGCGAACAGGAUUAGAUACCCUUGUAGUC
Molecule: ribosomal RNA, 441 nt
Filed under: uncultured bacterium
Lineage: Bacteria
Description: partial 16S ribosomal RNA
Rfam family: Bacterial small subunit ribosomal RNA
Source: RNAcentral